RNAcentral lists this long non-coding RNA (4975 nucleotides) under Mus musculus (house mouse). Its description in RNAcentral is "predicted gene, 56730". Lineage: Eukaryota; Metazoa; Chordata; Mammalia; Rodentia; Muridae. The record is from RNAcentral.
GACCUUCGAGACUCCUCUACCCUGUGCUAAGGUGUAUGAGUUUCGACCCCAGAGCUCUGUGUGCUUCCAUGUUGCUGCUUUAUUUCGACCCCAGAGCUCUGGUCUGUGUGCUUUCAUGUUGCUGCCUUAUUAAAUCUUGCCUUCUACAUUUUAUGUAUGGUCUCAGUGUCUUCUUGGGUACGCGGCUGUCCCGGGACUUGAGUGUCUGAGUGAGGGUCUUCCCUCGAGGGUCUUUCAUUUGGUGCGUUGGCCGGGAAUUCGAGAAUCUUUCAUUUGGUGCAUUGGCCGGGAAACAGCGCGACCACCCAGAGGUCCUAGACCCACUUAGAGGUAAGAUUCUUUGUUCUGUUUUGGUCUGAUGUCUGUGUUCUGAUGUCUGUGUUCUGUUUCUAAGUCUGGUGCGAUCGCAGUUUCAGUUUUGCGGACGCUCAGUGAGACCGCGCUCCGAGAGGGAGUGCGGGGUGGAUAAGGAUAGACGUGUCCAGGUGUCCACCGUCCGUUCACCCUGGGAGACGUCCCAGGAGGAACAGGGGAGGAUCAGGGACGCCUGGUGGACCCCUUUGAAGGCCAAGAGACCAUUUGGGGUUGCGAGAUCGUGGGUUAGAGUCCCACCUCGUGCCCAGUUGCGAGAUCGUGGGUUCGAGUCCCACCUCGUGUUUUGUUGCGAGAUCGUGGGUUUGAGUCCCACCUCGCACCUUGUUGCGAGACCGUGGGUUCGAGUCCCACCUCGCGUCUGGUCACGGGAUCGUGGGUUCGAGUCCCACCUCGUGCAGAGGGUCUCAAUCGGCCGGCCUUGGAGAGGCCAUCUGAUUCUUCUGGUUUCUUUUUUGUCUUAGUCUCGUGUCCGCUCUUGUUGUGACUACUGUUUUUCUAGAAAUGGGACAAUCUGUGUCCACUCCCCUUUCUCUGACUCUGGAGCAUUGGAAGGAGGUGCGGGUCAGAGCCCACAACCAGUCGGUGGAGGUCAGAAAGGGUCAGUGGCAGACCUUUUGUGCCUCCGAGUGGCCAACGUUUGGAGUAGGCUGGCCACCUAAGGGUGCUUUUGACUUGUCACUAAUCGCCGCCGUCAGGCAAAUUGUUUUUCAGGAGGAAGGGAGUCGAUGUCAGGAAAUAGCGUUUGGCUUGGCUGGUUGUACAAGUCCAGGCGUGGACGAGUGUGCUUAGAGAUACUGGUGUCUUCUUUUUCUCUGUUGCUAUCUUGUUUUUGUUUGUGGUUUUUGUCAUGAGACACAGACACUGUACGUCAGAGGUAAAGUGAGAUCCCUCCCUGUCUGUAUGUCUGUGUGUCUGUGUGUCUUGUUCACUUGUGUGUCCUCCAUUGGACCACCUUCUGAUUCUGUUUUGUUUUUGGUUUGUCUGGUUUCAGGUCUGGUCUUGGUCCCAAGGAGUUGACUGAUUAUCUUGGUUUGGUUUUAGGCCGGUCUCAGGUUCUGGGGCCUUCCCAUGGAGACAGGUCCAUUUGGGUUGGUCAUAGUGACAGUAAGCUUCUCUGGAAAUCGCAUGUAAGAUGCCCUGUAUUAGUCUUGUUUGUGUUUGUCAUUUCUGUGGUACUGUGAUUCUAUAGUGGUUGCCUGAAAAACGGUUUCUGUGUGUGUCUUUUUUGUCUCUUUGUGUUCGGACUUGGACUGAUGACUGACGACUGUUUUUAAGUUAUGCCUUCUGAAAUAAGCCUAAAAAUCCUGUCAGAUCCCUAUGCUGACCACUUCCUUUCAGAUCAACAGCUGCCCUGCCUCCCACUCCAACUCCAGAGAGCAGCCUGCGGGUCACAGUGGUCCCGUCCAUGGACCUGGAGCCUAGGGGGAAAAUGAGUUCAAAAAUCCGGAGCAAAUGAGGAGUGGUCCCUGAGAAGUCAGUGGCCUGAAUGUUGUGGCUGCUGAAACAAAAAGAAGAGGAGGCUGUGCGAGUAGCCGGCCAAGAACGCUGCAGGUUCCCAGGCAGCUUCUCAUUCCCCUGUCCCUCCCAUCCCGUCUCUUGUUAACAGAAAAACUGCUUUCACUUUAAGAUAAGUGCCGGUUGCAGCCAGCUGUGAGAGCUGCACUCCCGUCUCUGCUCUAAAGUUCCCUCUUCUCAGAAGGUGGCACCACCCUGAGUUGCUGGCAGUGAGUCUGUUCCAGGUUCCAGUGAGGGAGGCAUCCGCCCACUUGGGGCUUCUGUCCAAGGUAAGGAGCACCUGUGAGUCUAACUGCCAGGCUCUGAUGGGGGUCUCGUCUCUGUGGGACUAGAAAGUGUCCCAACAAUCUGACCAAGGUAACAGGAAGUUAAGACAAAGACAGAGAUCAGAGUCAGAAUCAGAGCUGUGCUGUGAGACAAAAAGAUAAGAAAAAUGAAAUGCUGGCCACAAAAGUCAGGAAAACUAGAAAACUUAGAUAGUACCUGGCAACAAAAGAAAGCUUUUGGCUAAAGAUCAACGUGUAUACUGUAAAGAAAAUGAGCACUGGGUGAGAGACUGCCCCAACAAAAAGAAGAGGAGCCCCCCUCAUGACCAAACCCUUCACCUGUUCGUGGCUAAAAGUAAAGAGAUAACAAAAGGGGUGCUAACACAGAAGCUGAGUCCUUAAAAGAGUCCGGUGGCCUACCUGUUGAAGCAGCUAAAAAAAGAGACUGUGUUUCAUACUCCUCCACUGACCAGUGCAAAACAAGCUAAAAAGUUCCUGGGCACUGCGGGCUUUUGCAGAUUGUGGAUUCCAGUUUUGCUGAGUUAAAGAGAUAAACAGCCCUUCGUAUAAAGAAAAAAAAAAAAGGAACAAUCUUAGAUGGCCUUAGAUGCUCUUGAGACUGCCCUAAUGUUAUCCCCAGCUAUGGGACUCCUAGAUGUGACUGAGAACAAAGGUAUUGCCAAAGAAGUUCUUACUCAGAGAUUGGGACCCUGAAAAAGACCUGUGGCAUACUUGUAAGAAAUUAGACCUGGUGGCUGUAAGAUGGCCUGCUUGUCUGCACAUAGUGGCUUCUGGUCAAGGACGCAGAUAAAUUGACUCUGAGACAAAACUUGGCACAUGUCCUAGAAAGUGUGGUUCAGCCCCCAUGACCGAUGGCUGACUAACGCUCUUAAAAGCAUUAUCCAACUGUUCCCCUGACCGAUGGACACAUUGUCAGAGCUUUUUUUGACUGAACGAGUGACCUUCGCUCCCCCUGCUAUCCUCGAUCUCACUACUGCCUGAGACUUCACCUACUCAUCAUUGUGCUGACAUUCUGGCAGAAGGAACUCAUACUCGAAAUGAUCUGAAGGAUCAGAUCAGCCUUGGCCUGAGAGUUCGAGCUGGUACACGGAUGGCAGUAGCCUCGAGGUUAAGGGUAAGCGGAAGGCGGGGACAGCAGUGCAGUGGUGGACAGAAAGCAAGUGAUCUAGGCCAGCAGCCUCCCUAAAGGAACUUCAGCCCAAAAAGCUAAACUUGUGGCUUUAAUACAAGCUCUAUAUAUACAGACAAAGAGAGCUGUUGACAUCUGCAGAGAAAGACCUAAGAUGCUGUGGCUAAAAGAAAUCAGAUGGCAAAUCUAACCGCCCAGGCAUCCUAAAGAGCAAUGAUCCUGACAGUCUGAAGACUAUCAAGUUAUAGACAAAUUAAGACUGGUAAAAGAAACCCUGUAUAAAAUAGUAAAAACUGAAAAAAGAAAACUAGUCCUCUCAUGAGAAGACAGACCUGACAUCUACUGAAAAAUAGACUUUACUGAAAAAAUAUGUGUAUAAAUACCUUCUGGUUUUUGUGAACGUUCUCAAGAUGGAUAAAAGCUUUUCCUUGUAAAAAAACGAGACUGAUCAGAUAGUCAUCAAGAAGAUUAUUAAAAAUUUUCCAAGGUUCGGAGUGCCAAAAGCAAUAGUGUCAGAUAAUGGUCCUGCCUUUGUUGCCCAGGUAAGUCAGGGUGUGGCCAAGUAUUUAGAGGUCAAAUAAAAAUUGUAUUAUGUGUACAGACCUCAGAACUCAGGACAGAUAGAAAUAAUAAAUAAAACUCUAAACAGACCUUGACAAAAUUAAUCCUAGAGACUGGCACAGACUUACUUGGUACUCCUUCCCCUUGCCCUAUUUAGAACUGAGAAUACUCCCUCUUGAUUCGGUUUUACUCUUUUUGAGAUCCUUUAUGGGGCUCCUGUGCCCAUCACUGUCUUAAAUGAUGUGUUUAAACCUAUGUUGUUAUAAUAAUGAUCUGUAUGUUAAGUUAUAAGGCUUACAGGUGGUGCAGAAAAAAGUCUGGUCACAACUGGCUACAGUGAACGAGCUGGGUACCCCAAGGACAUCUUACCAGUUCCAGCCAGAGAUCUGAUCUACAUACACCUGCGUCAUGCUGAGACCCUCAAGCCUCACUAGAAGGGUCCCUGCCUAGUUCUGUUUACUAAUCUGCCUUAUUCUGUUUUUGUCCCAUGUUAAAGAUAGAGUAAAUGCAGUAUUCUCCACAUAGAGAUAUAGACUUCUGAAAUUCUAAGAUUAGAAUUACUUACAAGAAGAAGUGGGGAAUGAAGAAUAGAAAAUUACUGGCCUCUUGUGAGAACAUGAACUUUUUACCUCGGAGCCCACCCCCUCCCAUCUAGAGGUUGUUCUCGGAACACUCCUAAACUUUUCACCCCAAAACUCCUCACCCUAAAGUUCGAAAAAACUGUUCCAAGAACAUUUUUGAGAUAAAGGCCUCCUGAAACAACCUCAAAAUGAACCGGGUACAUUGCCAAAUGAUAGGACAUGACUCCUUAGUUACGUAGGUUCCUUGAUAGGACAUGACUCCUUAGUUACGUAGAUUCCUUUGGCAGAACUCCCUAGUGAUGUAAACUUGUACUUUUCCUGCCCAGUUCUCCCCCUUUGAGUUUUACUAUAUAAGCCUGUGAAAAAUUUUUGCUGACCGUCGAGACUCCUCUACCCUGUGCUAAGGUGUAUGAGUUUCGACCCCAGAGCUCUGUGUGCUUCCAUGUUGCUGCUUUAUUUCGACCCCAGAGCUCUGGUCUGUGUGCUUUCAUGUUGCUGCCUUAUUAAAUCUUGCCUUCUACAUUUUA